UUGAAAUACCGGUUCUCGUACGAUCACUGAAGUUAGGCAACAUCGAGCCUGGUCAGUAAUUAGAUGGGUGAUCGCUUAGGAAUACCAGAUGCUGUAAG
Acanthosepion pharaonis is the source of this 98-nucleotide non-coding RNA. NCBI's taxonomy places the organism in Eukaryota, Metazoa, Mollusca, Cephalopoda, Sepiida, Sepiidae. The record is from the annotation of a GenBank genome assembly.